RNAcentral lists this transfer RNA (72 nucleotides) under Camelus bactrianus (Bactrian camel). It matches the Rfam family "tRNA". Rfam says of the family: Transfer RNA (tRNA) molecules are approximately 80 nucleotides in length. Their secondary structure includes four short double-helical elements and three loops (D, anti-codon, and T loops). Lineage: Eukaryota; Metazoa; Chordata; Mammalia; Artiodactyla; Camelidae. The record is from Rfam by way of RNAcentral. RNAcentral also lists the same sequence under 2 other names.
GAGGGUGUAGCUCAGUGGUAGAGCGUAUGCUUAGCAUGCACAAGGUCCUGGGAACAAUCCCCAGUACCUCCA